This 612-nucleotide ribosomal RNA is filed under the name Holtermanniella festucosa. RNAcentral describes it as "eukaryotic LSU rRNA". It matches the Rfam family "Eukaryotic large subunit ribosomal RNA", at positions 53 to 652 of the family's 3401-position model. The record is from RNAcentral. Lineage: Eukaryota; Fungi; Basidiomycota; Tremellomycetes; Holtermanniales.
GAGGAAAAGAAACUAACAAGGAUUCCCCUAGUAACGGCGAGUGAAGCGGGAUGAGCUCAAAUUUGUAAUCUGGUGGACUCAGUUCAUCCGAGUUGUAAUCUAUAGAAAAGUUUUCCGCGCCGGACCGUGUCUAAGUCCCUUGGAACAGGGUGUCAGAGAGGGUGAGAAUCCCGUGCUUGAUACGACCACCGGUGCUAUGUGAUACUUUUUCAACGAGUCGAGUUGUUUGGGAAUGCAGCUCAAAAUGGGUGGUAAAUUCCAUCUAAAGCUAAAUAUUGGCGAGAGACCGAUAGCGAACAAGUACCGUGAGGGAAAGAUGAAAAGCACUUUGGAAAGAGAGUUAAACAGUACGUGAAAUUGUUAAAAGGGAAACGAUUGAAGUCAGUCGUGCUCUCUGGGACUCAGCCGGUUCUUCCGGUGUAUUUCCCAGUGAGCGGGUCAACAUCAGUUUAGAUCGCUGGAUAAGGUCAUUAGGAAUGUGGCUCCCUCGGGAGUGUUAUAGCCUAGUGUCGCAUACAGUGGUUUAGACUGAGGAACGCAGCUCGCCUUUAUGGCCGGGGUUCGCCCACGUCCGAGCUUAGGAUGUUGACAUAAUGGCUUUAAACGACCCGU